RNAcentral lists this ribosomal RNA (386 nucleotides) under uncultured soil bacterium. RNAcentral describes it as "bacterial SSU rRNA". It matches the Rfam family "Bacterial small subunit ribosomal RNA", at positions 26 to 408 of the family's 1533-position model. The record is from RNAcentral.
AGGACGAACGCUGGCGGCGUGCUUAACACAUGCAAGUCGAGCGGAAAGGCCUUUCGGGGUACUCGAGCGGCGAACGGGUGAGUAACACGUGAGUAAUCUGCCCAUCGCUUCAGGAUAGCCAUCGGAAACGGUGAUUAAUACUGGAUAUGACAUUCCUUCGCAUGUUGGGGUGUGGUAAAGUUUUUUCGGCGGUGGAUGUGCUCGCGGCCUAUCAGCUUGUUGGUGGGGUAAUGGCCUACCAAGGCUUUGACGGGUAGCCGGCUGGAGAGGGUGACCGGCCACACGUGGGACUGAGACACGGCCAGACCUCCGUACGGGAGGCAGCAGGUGGGAAUAGUUGGACAAGUGGGACGAAGCCUGACUCCGAGCCAACGCCGCGUAGAGGA